AUUGAACGCUGGCGGCAGGCCUAACACAUGCAAGUCGAGCGGAUGAAGGGAGCUUGCUCCUGGAUUCAGCGGCGGACGGGUGAGUAAUGCCUAGGAAUCUGCCUGGUAGUGGGGUAUAACGUCCGGAAACGGGCGCUAAUACCGCAUACGUCCUGAGGGAGGAAGUGGGGGAUCUUCGGACCUCACGCUAUCAGAUGAGCCUAGGUCGGAUUAGCUAGUUGGUGGGGUAAAGGCCUACCAAGGCGACGAUCCGUAACUGGUCUGAGAGGAUGAUCAGUCACACUGGAACUGAGACACGGUCCAGACUCCUACGGGAGGCAGCAGUGGGGAAUAUUGGACAAUGGGCGAAAGCCUGAUCCAGCCAUGCCGCGUGUGUGAAGAAGGUCUUCGGAUUGUAAAGCACUUUAAGUUGGGAGGAAGGGCAGUAAGUUAAUACCUUGCUGUUUUGACGUUACCAACAGAAUAAGCACCGGCUAACUUCGUG
Molecule: ribosomal RNA, 484 nt
Filed under: uncultured bacterium
Lineage: Bacteria
Description: partial 16S ribosomal RNA
Rfam family: Bacterial small subunit ribosomal RNA
Source: RNAcentral